CAAUGUCUGGGAUAUUCGCAUGGUUUCUAUUUUGAACCUACGCAAUGCAUAAGGGAGUCCAAUACUGGUAUUGGAUAUCAGGCCCAAAGUAAGUCCGGUUUCGGCAGGGGAAGAUAAAAGAUAUCAUGCGGACACCCACCUAUCGGAUGAUAGGGUGUCAAAAUUGAAACGACGGUAUCUCAGAUAAAUA
RNAcentral lists this non-coding RNA (190 nucleotides) under Clostridiales bacterium. RNAcentral's name for it is "6S RNA". It matches the Rfam family "6S / SsrS RNA". From Rfam's summary of the family: E. coli 6S RNA was the first non coding RNA to be sequenced, but its function was unknown until recently. It consists of 184 nucleotides that fold into an extended hairpin structure with a large single-stranded internal bulge. The record is from RNAcentral. Lineage: Bacteria; Bacillati; Bacillota; Clostridia; Eubacteriales.